RNAcentral lists this long non-coding RNA (558 nucleotides) under Homo sapiens (human). RNAcentral's name for it is "HSALNT0367028". Lineage: Eukaryota; Metazoa; Chordata; Mammalia; Primates; Hominidae. The record is from RNAcentral.
CGCGCACACCACGAGUGUUGGGUGACCAUCAGGUGAUGGUCAGGCAGUUGUUAACUGUCUCGCUAAAGUAAUAAUUGGCCACAGCCAGUGCCAGAGAAAGUCAGUCUACUAAUACAUGUAGAUAGGAAACACCUGAAACUGAUCAGCAGCUUCCCAGUAAGAUCUCAGGAGUGGAGAGAAGGAACGCAAGAUCCCGGAAGUAUGCCAGUGUAUAAAACCCCAAGUCAAAAGAAUAAAGCCCAAAAAUAUUAGCAUAACAUUCAGGGGACUUCGUGAUCAAGAUCCACUUUAUCUCCCCUGUGUUAUCUCUGACUGCCACCCUGUGAAACCUUGAUUCAACUACACCAAACCACUGACAAUUCUUGAGAACAUGAAGUUAUUAAAAAGUAAAAUCUAUAUUUGGGGGCAAUAUAACUGUAGAAAAUCCAGAAAAAGUCAUUUGAAAAACAAAGUUAAUAAGCCUUUAGAGCAAUUGUUAAAAUGUUUGCAUCUAUUAAAAUGUGUGUAAAGAUACCAAAUUAUGUGAGACAUGCUUAUAAUGUUAGCUGAUAAAAACAG